GCCUAGCCCUAAAUCUUGACACUUCCCCCACUAAAGUGUCCGCCCGAGAACUACGAGCACAAACGCUUAAAACUCUAAGGACUUGGCGGUGCCCCAAACCCACCUAGAGGAGCCUGUUCUAUAAUCGAUAACCCACGAUUCACCCAACCACCCCUUGCCAAAACAGCCUACAUACCGCCGUCGUCAGCCCACCUUAGUGAAAGAAUAACAGUGAGCACAAUAGCCCGCCCGCUAGCAAGACAGGUCAAGGUAUAGCCCAUGGGGUGGAAGAAAUGGGCUACAUUUUCUGAAACAGAAAACCUAACGAAAGGAGAUGUGAAAUCGUCUCCAGAAGGCGGAUUUAGCAGUAAAGCAGGACAAUAGAGCCCCCUUUAAACCGGCUCUGAGGCACGU
RNAcentral lists this ribosomal RNA (393 nucleotides) under Phalacrocorax gaimardi (red-legged cormorant). RNAcentral describes it as "Poikilocarbo gaimardi (red-legged cormorant) partial 12S small subunit ribosomal RNA". It matches the Rfam family "Bacterial small subunit ribosomal RNA", at positions 794 to 1384 of the family's 1533-position model. The record is from RNAcentral. Lineage: Eukaryota; Metazoa; Chordata; Aves; Suliformes; Phalacrocoracidae.